GGCGGUAAAUUAGUAUUUAGAGGAGCUUGCUUGAUAAUUGACUUUACUCAUUGGAUUUUACUUCAUUAAGUUUAUUUAUCUCCGUUAUAAAAAUGGUGUGUUUGAGGUAAUAUUUACAUUUGAUUUCAGGUCAAGAUGUAGCCUUAUGGAGUUAGGGUGAGCUACAUUUUAGGGUAUGUGGAUUGUUAGUUGGAUUAUCAUGAAAAUGGAUUUAGUAGUAAUUUUUUUUAGGAUUGAAAGAUGAAUGGUGGAGAUUUAUGUACACAUC
RNAcentral lists this ribosomal RNA (268 nucleotides) under Palaeoncopus sp. PS-2009. RNAcentral's name for it is "partial 12S ribosomal RNA". Lineage: Eukaryota; Metazoa; Arthropoda; Arachnida; Opiliones; Sandokanidae. The record is from RNAcentral.